CCUACGGGAGGCAGCAGUGAGGAAUGUUGGUCAAUGGACGAGAGUCUGAACCAGCCAAGUAGCGUGAAGGAUGACUGCCCUAUGGGUUGUAAACUUCUUUUAUAUGGGAAUAAAAUGUUCCACGUGUGGGAUUUUGUAUGUACCAUAUGAAUAAGGAUCGGCUAACUCCGUGCCAGCAGCCGCGGUAAUACGGAGGAUCCGAGCGUUAUCCGGAUUUAUUGGGUUUAAAGGGAGCGUAGGUGGAUUGUUAAGUCAGUUGUGAAAGUUUGCGGCUCAACCGUAAAAUUGCAGUUGAAACUGGCAGUCUUGAGUACAGUAGAGGUGGGCGGAAUUCGUGGUGUAGCGGUGAAAUGCUUAGAUAUCACGAAGAACUCCGAUUGCGAAGGCAGCUCACUGGACUGCAACUGACACUGAGGCUCGAAAGCGUGGGGAGCAAACAGGAUUAGAUACCCCUGUAGUC
This 460-nucleotide ribosomal RNA is filed under the name uncultured bacterium. RNAcentral's name for it is "partial 16S ribosomal RNA". It matches the Rfam family "Bacterial small subunit ribosomal RNA", at positions 338 to 795 of the family's 1533-position model. The record is from RNAcentral.